GACGAACGCUGGCGGCGUGCUUAACACAUGCAAGUCGAACGGAAAGGCCCUGCUUUUGUGGGGUGCUCGAGUGGCCAACGGGUGAGUAACACUUGUGUAACCUGCCCUUUCCUUUGGGAUAACUUCAUGAAACUGGGGCUCAUACCGGAUAGGAGCUCCUGCUGCAUGGUGGGGGUUGGAAAGUUUCGGCGGUUGGGGAUGGACUCGCGGCUUAUCAGCUUGUUGGAGGGGUAGUGGCUUACCAAGGCUUUGACGGGUAGCCGGCCUGCGAGGGUGACCGGACAAAUUGGGACGGGGAUGAGGCACGGACUCGUACGGGAGGCAGCGGUGGAGAAUAUUGCACAAUGGGCGGAAGCCUAAUGCAGCAACGCCGCGUGGGGGAUGACGGCCUUCGGGUUGUAAACCGCUUUCGCCUGUGACGAAGAGUGAGUGACGGUAAUGGGUGAAGAAGCACCGGCUAACUACGUG
Molecule: ribosomal RNA, 468 nt
Filed under: uncultured bacterium
Lineage: Bacteria
Description: partial 16S ribosomal RNA
Rfam family: Bacterial small subunit ribosomal RNA
Source: RNAcentral